AGCGAACGCUGGCGGCAGGCCUAACACAUGCAAGUCGAACGAACCUUUCGGGGUUAGUGGCGGACGGGUGAGUACCACGUGGGAACGUGCCUUUAGGUUCGGAAUAACUCAGGGAAACUUGUGCUAAUACCGAAUGUGCCCUUCGGGGGAAAGAUUAAUCGCCUUUAGAGCGGCCCGCGUCUGAUUAGCUAGUUGGUUGAGGUAAUGGCUCACCACGGCGACGAUCAGUAGCUGGUCGGAGAGGAUGAUCAGCCACAUUGGGACUGAGACACGGCCCAAACUCCUACGGGAGGCAGCAGUGGGGAAUCUUGCGCAAUGGGCGAAAGCCUGACGCAGCCAUGCCGCGUGAAUGAUGAAGGUCUUAGGAUUGUAAAAUUCUUUCACCGGGGACGAUAAUGACGGUACCCGGAGAAGAAGCCCCGGCUAACUUCGUG
This 434-nucleotide ribosomal RNA is filed under the name uncultured bacterium. RNAcentral describes it as "partial 16S ribosomal RNA". It matches the Rfam family "Bacterial small subunit ribosomal RNA", at positions 29 to 507 of the family's 1533-position model. The record is from RNAcentral.